This 331-nucleotide long non-coding RNA is filed under the name Phaseolus vulgaris (common bean). Its description in RNAcentral is "long non-coding RNA (PVUL_LNC004532)". Lineage: Eukaryota; Viridiplantae; Streptophyta; Magnoliopsida; Fabales; Fabaceae. The record is from RNAcentral.
GUCGCAGCUCGCGUCGUACGACCAGUUCAAAGAGACGAUUCUCGAGAAGGGCUUGAUGCGCGAUGGGCUCGGGACCCACGUCACGGCGAGCUUCGCGGCGGGAUUCGUGGCGGCUGUGGCGUCGAACCCCGUGGACGUGAUCAAGACGAGGGUGAUGAACAUGAAGGUGGAGCCCGGGGCGCCGCCACCGUACGCCGGCGCGUUGGAUUGUGCUCUGAAGACGGUGCGAGCGGAGGGGCCCAUGGCCCUCUACAAGGGUUUCAUUCCUACGAUCUCGAGGCAGGGACCCUUCACCGUUGUGCUGUUCGUGACGCUGGAACAGGUUCGCAAG